This 483-nucleotide ribosomal RNA is filed under the name Micrurus sp. Its description in RNAcentral is "partial large subunit ribosomal RNA". It matches the Rfam family "Bacterial large subunit ribosomal RNA", at positions 1858 to 2609 of the family's 2925-position model. The record is from RNAcentral. Lineage: Eukaryota; Metazoa; Chordata; Lepidosauria; Squamata; Elapidae.
CCUGCCAGUGACAAUUAAACGGCCGCGGUACCCUAACCGUGCAAAGGUAGCAUAAUCAUUUGUCUAUUAAUUGUAGACCUGUAUGAAAGGUAAAAUGAGGACCUUACUGUCUCUUAUAAUAAGUCAAUUAAACUGAUCUCCUAGUUCAAAAGCUAGAAUACUCACAUAAGACCAGAAGACCCUGUGAAGCUUAAACUAAACUAUUAAACCCUAUAAUAGCUCCUUUCGGUUGGGGCGACCUUGGAAAAAAAGAGAACUUCCAACAUACAAUCCUAUAAAUUUCACCCAGGCUGACAAGCCACCAAAGACCCAGCACAGCUGAUAAUUGAACCAAGUUACUCCAGGNAUAACAGCGCUAUCUUCUUCAAGAGCCCAUAUCAAAAAGAAGGUUUACGACCUCGAUGUUGGAUCAGGACAUCCUAAUGGUGCAGCAGCUAUUAAGGGUUCGUUUGUUCAACGAUUAAUAGUCCUACGUGAUCUGAU